Molecule: ribosomal RNA, 460 nt
Filed under: uncultured bacterium
Lineage: Bacteria
Description: partial 16S ribosomal RNA
Rfam family: Bacterial small subunit ribosomal RNA
Source: RNAcentral
CCUACGGGGGGCUGCAGUGAGGAAUAUUGGUCAAUGGGCGGAAGCCUGAACCAGCCAAGUAGCGUGCAGGAUGACGGCCCUACGGGUUGUAAACUGCUUUUAUACGGGAAUAACGCGCCUUACGUGUAGGGCUUUGCAUGUACCUGUUUAGAAAGCUCCGGCUAACUACGUGCCAGCAGCCGCGGUAAUACGUAGGGAGCAAGCGUUGUCCGGAAUUACUGGGCGUAAAGGGCGCGUAGGUGGGUGCUUAAGUCAGGUGUGAAAACUCUGGGCUCAACCUGGAGACUGCACUUGAAACUGGGUAUCUUGAGGGCAGGAGAGGAAAGCGGAAUUCCUAGUGUAGCGGUGAAAUGCGUAGAUAUUAGGAAGAACACCAGUGGCGAAGGCGGCUUUCUGGACUGAAACUGACGCUGAGGCUCGAAAGCGUGGGGAGCGAACAGGAUUAGAUACCCCAGUAGUC